RNAcentral lists this unclassified non-coding RNA (346 nucleotides) under Acacia mearnsii. RNAcentral describes it as "partial contains external transcribed spacer and 18S ribosomal RNA". Lineage: Eukaryota; Viridiplantae; Streptophyta; Magnoliopsida; Fabales; Fabaceae. The record is from RNAcentral.
CCGAACGGUCGGCAGGCGAUCCGCGUCGGUCGCGCUGGGUGGUAUGGUUCCCCAGAGGCCGGUUCUUGUGCUGCCUACCCCUUCAGGGGAAGAGUUCCAAACUCGAUGUAAGCCUCCAUCCGGCGCCCUCCAAAGGGCGCGGGAGGACAACGGAGCACCCCCCGCGUUCCACCGAGCCUCCUCGGUCGCGUGGCCCGCGGGGACGUGCGAUGCUCUCGGACCCAGCGAACGCCGUGGGCGAGGACUCACGUCCCGGUCCCUAGUGAAGCAACGGUAUAACGCACGACGGCCGCUCCCGCCCCCCGACCGCCCCGGCGGCGUGGGGGCGAAGGCGCGGCGUCGCUGA